UACAGAGGUCUCAAGCGUUGUUCGGAUUCAUUGGGCGUAAAGGGUGCGUAGGCGGGCAUUUAAGUCAGUGGUGAAAUACCUGAGCUUAACUUGGGAACUGCCAUUGAUACUAUUUGUCUUGAAUGUCGUGGAGGUUAGCGGAAUAUGUCAUGUAGCGGUGAAAUGCUUAGAUAUGACAUAGAACACCUAUUGCGAAGGCAGCUAACUACGCGAAUAUUGACGCUGAGGCACGAAAGCGUGGGGAUCAAACAGG
RNAcentral lists this ribosomal RNA (253 nucleotides) under uncultured bacterium. RNAcentral describes it as "partial 16S ribosomal RNA". It matches the Rfam family "Bacterial small subunit ribosomal RNA", at positions 524 to 776 of the family's 1533-position model. The record is from RNAcentral.